GACGAACGCUGGCGGCGUGCCUAACACACGCAAGUCGAACGAGUCCAGGCUUUCGGGCCUGAGGCGAGUGGCGGACGGGUGAGUAACACGUGAGCAAUUUGUCCCUGUGUGGGGGACAACCCGGGGAAACUCGGGCUAAUACCGCAUGGGCAGGCACUUCACAGGAAGAGCCUGGGGAAAGAGGCCCUCUUUACAAUGGUCUCAUGCAGGGAGGAGCUCGCGGGCUAUCAGCAGUUGGUAGUGGUAACGGCCUACCAAGGCGACGACGGCUACGGGGUCUGAGAGGACGACCCCGCACAUUGGAACUGAGACACGGUCCAGACUCCUACGGGAGGCAGCAGUGGGGAAUUUUGGGCAAUGGCCGAAAGGCUGACCCAGCGACGCCGCGUGCGGGAUGACGCCU
RNAcentral lists this ribosomal RNA (403 nucleotides) under uncultured bacterium. RNAcentral describes it as "bacterial SSU rRNA". It matches the Rfam family "Bacterial small subunit ribosomal RNA", at positions 28 to 416 of the family's 1533-position model. The record is from RNAcentral.